Molecule: ribosomal RNA, 253 nt
Filed under: uncultured bacterium
Lineage: Bacteria
Description: partial 16S ribosomal RNA
Rfam family: Bacterial small subunit ribosomal RNA
Source: RNAcentral
GACAGAGGGUGCAAGCGUUAAUCGGAGUUAUUGGGCGUAAAGCGUACGUAGGUGGUUAAGCAAGUCAGAUGUGAAAUCCCUGGGCUCAACCUGGGAACUGCAUCCGAUACUACUUGACUAGAGUGUGGUAGAGGGAAGUGGAAUUUCCGGUGUAGCAGUGAAAUGCGUAGAUAUCGGAAGGAACACCAGUGGCGAAGGCGACUUCCUGGACCACAACUGACACUGAGGUACGAAAGCGUGGGGAGCAAACAGG